AUGAACGCUGGCGGCGUGCUUAACACAUGCAAGUCGAACGGAACUACUCCAAUGAGAGUCUUCGGAAAGGAUUUGGUUUAGUUUAGUGGCGGACGGGUGAGUAACGCGUGGGUAACCUGCCCUAUACAGGGGGAUAACAGUUGGAAACGACUGUUAAUACCGCAUAAGCGCACAGGAGCGCAUGCUCCGGUGUGAAAAACUCCGGUGGUAUAGGAUGGACCCGCGUCUGAUUAGCUGGUUGGCGGGGUAACGGCCCACCAAGGCGACGAUCAGUAGCCGGCCUGAGAGGGUGAACGGCCACAUUGGGACUGAGACACGGCCCAAACUCCUACGGGAGGCAGCAGUGGGGAAUAAUGCACAAUGGGGGAAACCCUGAUGCAGCGACGCCGCGUGAGCGAAGAAGUAUCUCGGUAUGUAAAGCUCUAUCAGCAGGGAAGAAAAUGACGGUACCUGACUAAGAAGCCCCGGCUAACUACGUG
This 479-nucleotide ribosomal RNA is filed under the name uncultured bacterium. Its description in RNAcentral is "partial 16S ribosomal RNA". It matches the Rfam family "Bacterial small subunit ribosomal RNA", at positions 29 to 507 of the family's 1533-position model. The record is from RNAcentral.